AUGCCUUAAACUUAUGACUAAGGAAAAUAAUGAUUCAGGGUGAUGCCAAAAUCUUCACUGUUAAUGUGAGACGAAUUUUUAAGCGGAUAAAGGUUGCCCCUAAGGUGACCCAUCUA
This is a small nuclear RNA of Myotis lucifugus (little brown bat), 116 nucleotides long. Its record names the gene U12. It matches the Rfam family "U12 minor spliceosomal RNA". From Rfam's summary of the family: Although the U12 sequence is very divergent from that of U2, the two are functionally analogous. Lineage: Eukaryota; Metazoa; Chordata; Mammalia; Chiroptera; Vespertilionidae. The record is from Ensembl.